This 289-nucleotide ribosomal RNA is filed under the name uncultured Haemophilus sp. Its description in RNAcentral is "partial 16S ribosomal RNA". The record is from RNAcentral. Lineage: Bacteria; Pseudomonadati; Pseudomonadota; Gammaproteobacteria; Pasteurellales; Pasteurellaceae.
CUACCGGGGUAUCUAAUCCUGUUUGCUCCCCACGCUUUCGCACAUGAGCGUCAGUACAUUCCCAAGGGGCUGCCUUCGCCUUCGGUAUUCCUCCACAUCUCUACGCAUUUCACCGCUACACGUGGAAUUCUACCCCUCCCUAAAGUACUCUAGCGACCCAGUAUGAAAUGCAAUUCCCAGGUUAAGCCCGGGGCUUUCACACCUCACUUAAGUCACCGCCUGCGUGCCCUUUACGCCCAGUUAUUCCGAUUAACGCUCGCACCCUCCGUAUUACCGCGGCUGCUGGCAC